GACGAACGCUGGCGGCGUGCUUAAUACAUGCAAGUCGAACGGAAAGGCCCUGCUCUUGUGGGGUGCUCGAGUGGCGAACGGGUGAGUAACACGUGAGUAACCUGCACUUGACUUUGGGAUAACUUCAGGAAAAUGGGGCUCAUAUCGGAUAGGAGCUCCUGCUGCAUGGUGGGGGUUGGUAAGAUUCGGUGGUUGGGGCUGGACUCGCGGCUUAUCAGCUUGUUGGUGGGGUAGUGGCUUACCAAGGCUUUGAAGGGUAGCCGGCCUGAGAGGGUGACCGGCCACAUUGGGACUGAGAUGCGGCCCAGACUCCUACGGGAGGCAGCAGUGGGGAAUAUUGCACGAUGGGCGGAAGCCUGAUGCAGCAACGCCGCGUGCGGUAUGACGGCCUUCGGGUUGUAGACCGCUUUCGCCUGUGACGAAGCGUGAGUGACGGUAAUGGGUAAAGAAGCACCGGCUAACUACGUG
RNAcentral lists this ribosomal RNA (468 nucleotides) under uncultured bacterium. Its description in RNAcentral is "partial 16S ribosomal RNA". It matches the Rfam family "Bacterial small subunit ribosomal RNA", at positions 28 to 507 of the family's 1533-position model. The record is from RNAcentral.